Molecule: ribosomal RNA, 428 nt
Filed under: Exophiala equina
Lineage: Eukaryota; Fungi; Ascomycota; Eurotiomycetes; Chaetothyriales; Herpotrichiellaceae
Description: eukaryotic LSU rRNA
Rfam family: Eukaryotic large subunit ribosomal RNA
Source: RNAcentral
GAGUUGUAAUUUGUAGAGGAUGUUUCGGGUACCGCCUCGGUUUAAAUUUCUUGGAACAGAAUGUCAAAGAGGGUGAGAAUCCCGUCUUGGACCGGCGGUAGGGCCCAUGUGAAACUCCUUCGACGAGUCGAGUUGUUUGGGAAUGCAGCUCAAAAUGGGUGGUAAAUUUCAUCUAAAGCUAAAUAUUGGCCAGAGACCGAUAGCGCACAAGUAGAGUGAUCGAAAGAUGAAAAGCACUUUGAAAAGAGAGUUAAACAGUAUGUGAAAUUGUUGAAAGGGAAGCGCUUACAACCAGACUUGCGCGCGGCGGUUCCCCCUUCCUUUUGGUUGGGCUACUCCGUCGUGUCCAGGCCAACAUCGGUUCUGGGGGUCGGUUAAAGACCCUGGGAAUGUAUCUACCCUUCGGGCGUAGACUUAUAGCUCAGGGU